GCUAGGUGGAUUAGUGGCGCACGGGUGAGUAAUAUAUAGAUAACGUGCCUCUUAGUCUGGGAUAGCCAUUGGAAACGAUGAUUAAUACUAGAUACUCCUUCUAACUCUAAUGUUAGUUGGGAAAGUUUUUCGCUAAGAGAUCGGUCUAUAUCCCAUCAGCUAGUUGGUAGUGUAAGAGACUACCAAGGCAAUGACGGGUAGCGGGUUUGAGAGGAUGAUCCGCCACACUGGUACUGAGACACGGACCAGACUCCUACGGGAGGCAGCAGUGAGGAAUAUUGCACAAUGGAGGAAACUCUGAUGCAGCAACGCCGCGUGGAGGAUGACGCAUUUCGGUGUGUAAACUCCUUUUAUAUGUCAAGAAAAUGACGGUAGCAUAUGAAUAAGCACCGGCUAACUCCGUGCCAGCAGCCGCGGUAAUACGGAGGGUGCAAGCGUUAUUCGGAAUCACUGGGCGUAAAGGACGCGUAGGCGGGAUGCCAAGUCUGAUGUGAAAUCCUAUG
This 503-nucleotide ribosomal RNA is filed under the name uncultured Campylobacterota bacterium. RNAcentral describes it as "bacterial SSU rRNA". It matches the Rfam family "Bacterial small subunit ribosomal RNA", at positions 82 to 606 of the family's 1533-position model. Lineage: Bacteria; Pseudomonadati; Campylobacterota. The record is from RNAcentral.